This 492-nucleotide ribosomal RNA is filed under the name Priestia aryabhattai. Its description in RNAcentral is "bacterial SSU rRNA". It matches the Rfam family "Bacterial small subunit ribosomal RNA", at positions 100 to 576 of the family's 1533-position model. Lineage: Bacteria; Bacillati; Bacillota; Bacilli; Caryophanales; Bacillaceae. The record is from RNAcentral.
GAAAGGUGAAACUACCCUCGGGGCAACCGCGCCGGUAAGACUGGGAUAACUUCGGGAAACCGAAGCUAAUACCGGAUAGGAUCUUCUCCUUCAUGGGAGAUGAUUGAAAGAUGGUUUCGGCUAUCACUUACAGAUGGGCCCGCGGUGCAUUAGCUAGUUGGUGAGGUAACGGCUCACCAAGGCAACGAUGCAUAGCCGACCUGAGAGGGUGAUCGGCCACACUGGGACUGAGACACGGCCCAGACUCCUACGGGAGGCAGCAGUAGGGAAUCUUCCGCAAUGGACGAAAGUCUGACGGAGCAACGCCGCGUGAGUGAUGAAGGCUUUCGGGUCGUAAAACUCUGUUGUUAGGGAAGAACAAGUACGAGAGUAACUGCUCGUACCUUGACGGUACCUAACCAGAAAGCCACGGCUAACUACGUGCCAGCAGCCGCGGUAAUACGUAGGUGGCAAGCGUUAUCCGGAAUUAUUGGGCGUAAAGCGCGCGCAGGC